GAAUCUGAGGAUGGUGGACAGGGAGAAGGGAGACUGGAGGGUAACAGGUUGGGUGCGCACAUGCAGACACACACACACACACCAGCGCACCUGUCCACACUCAUCCACCUGCUUCACACGAGCCAGGAGACCACCGCGUGCCCACUGACGGUCUUACGUUUGGCAAAUGGGCACGUGUACACAUGACCAUAUACACAAGCAGGCACCUUCCAAUCCAGAUAAGAAGGAAUUAAGAAGCCCAGCAAAAUGCCUCCUCCCCUCCAUGCCCAAAGAUAAAUAAUUCAUUUGUUGUGUAACCGCUCUUGUUCCAAAAAUAAUUCCCUUGUCUCAGCUUGCAUAGGGGAGGGGGAGCGGAGCGGCACGGCUGUGGGCCCCCCAAGCAGGGGGCACAGAGGCCAGGCUCUCCCCCAGGGGCAGGGCAUGGGGAGAACUCAGCCUACAGACAGGAGCAGCACAGAGGGAGAGAGGGCAAGAGCCGGGAUAGCCAGACACACCCCCAUAUCACGUCCCCAAAGUGCUUUCCAUUAGAGGUCCCUGAUGCUGGAGUGAGAAGGCCUUGGGCCGACGGCGAAGCCGGAGGCAUCUGGGAUAGUGUGGUCAAAGCCCUGUGUCCCCUCUGGGGCUGGAGUCAGAGGCCCAGAGAGGGGCAGUGCAGCCUGGGCCAGGAUCGAGGUUCCCUAGGCAUGAAGAUGCAGGAGGCCUGGAGCCCCUCCAUCCAGCUCAAUGAGCCAGAUGGGAGACCCCAUCGUGAAGUGGGGACCAGGCCUGGCCAUCGGAUGCGGAAGAAGUAAGGUGCACCAUGUUGCCCAUGCCCCAACAUGCAGAGGGGCAGCGUCGGUGGUAUUGAGUUCACAGCCCACAGCCCCUCACUUUACAGGUGGGGAAACUGAGCCCCAGACCAGGGGAGACUUGACCUCUCAGCCAGAGGUGGCUCCGGGCUCCCACUCAGCGGUGUGCCCUCCCCUCGCCCUGGACAGUGGCCAGGGACAUGGAGAUUGGGCCAGAGAAAUCCACAUUUGGACAAGGAAAGCCGGAGACUGUUCACAAGAGCCACCUAUACCUCACCCUCUUCCUCCUGGGAAACUCCAGGAGAGAAAGCGCUUCGGAAAGGAAAAAAAAAAAAAGAAAAAAAAUAUAUAUAUAUUAAACCUUGGCUGUUAAAGCAAAACCAAUUUACAGCUCUCAGCCCCAGAGGGCUGGAACGGAGGAAGCUGAAGCAGGGAGGGAAACCGUCCCCAAAGAAGUCCAGACAGUAUUUGGGCAAGAGGUAGCAGCAGCAGAGAGAAGAAACGUGGCAAAGCGGGGAGCGGAGCCCUGUAGAGGGAUCUCGGGACAAGCUCCCCCCCCCCCCCCCCCCCCCCCCGCCGUCUAGCUGGCUACAGAUGCCCCCGGUCGUGAUGACAUCUUAGAAGGGGGAGAGGAAGAGGAGUCAGCAAGAUCUGAAGCGUCCAUGGGGCCAGUUCAGAGCAACACUGCCACAAAAUAUGCAGAAACUGAGGCUCGGAGAGGUGCCAUGAUCCGCCCAGGACCACACAGCUAGGUUCCUGGACCUGCCUGGGCUCUUAGAACUACAAAACAUUCCAGAAUUCCUGCAGAGGUAACUUUCCCAUACUCGCAUACCCUCAGUGACAAGGAUCUCAACACCCGUAUGAAGCUGCUUCUCCCCUUCUUGCACAGCUCCGAUUGUUAUAAAUUUCUUCCUAUAUCGCAAGACCA
Suricata suricatta (meerkat) is the source of this 1716-nucleotide long non-coding RNA. RefSeq lists it as uncharacterized. The transcript is spliced from 3 exons. The record is from RefSeq and is a predicted model, not a curated record. Lineage: Eukaryota; Metazoa; Chordata; Mammalia; Carnivora; Herpestidae.